Molecule: ribosomal RNA, 2772 nt
Filed under: human gut metagenome
Description: bacterial LSU rRNA
Rfam family: Bacterial large subunit ribosomal RNA
Source: RNAcentral
AGCGUACACGGUGGAUGCCCUGGCAGUCAGAGGCGAUGAAGGACGUGCUAAUCUGCGAAAAGCGUCGGUAAGGUGAUAUGAACCGUUAUAACCGGCGAUGUCCGAAUGGGGAAACCCAGUGUAAUUCGUUGCACUAUCGUUAACUGAAUACAUAGGUUAACGAGGCGAACCGGGGGAACUGAAACAUCUAAGUACCCCGAGGAAAAGAAAUCAACCGAGAUUCCCCCAGUAGCGGCGAGCGAACGGGGAGCAGCCCAGAGUCUGAAUCAGCUUGUGUGUUAGUGGAACGGUCUGGAAAGUCCGACGGUACAGGGUGAUAGUCCCGUACACCAAAAUGCACAGGUUGUGAACUCGAAGAGUAGGGCGGGACACGUGGUAUCCUGUCUGAAUAUGGGGGGACCAUCCUCCAAGGCUAAAUACUCCUGACUGACCGAUAGUGAACCAGUACCGUGAGGGAAAGGCGAAAAGAACCCCGGCGAGGGGAGUGAAAAAGAACCUGAAACCGUGUACGUACAAGCAGUGGGAGCACCUUCGGGUGUGACUGCGUACCUUUUGUAUAAUGGGUCAGCGACUUAUAUUCUGUAGCAAGGUUAACCGAAUAGGGGAGCCGAAGGGAAACCGAGUCUUAACUGGGCGUUAAGUUGCAGGGUAUAGACCCGAAACCCGGUGAUCUAGCCAUGGGCAGGUUGAAGGUUGGGUAACACUAACUGGAGGACCGAACCGACUAAUGUUGAAAAAUUAGCGGAUGACUUGUGGCUGGGGGUGAAAGGCCAAUCAAACCGGGAGAUAGCUGGUUCUCCCCGAAAGCUAUUUAGGUAGCGCCUCGUGAACUCAUCUUCGGGGGUAGAGCACUGUUUCGGCUAGGGGGUCAUCCCGACUUACCAACCCGAUGCAAACUACGAAUACCGAAGAAUGUUAUCACGGGAGACACACGGCGGGUGCUAACGUCCGUCGUGAAGAGGGAAACAACCCAGACCGCCAGCUAAGGUCCCAAAGUCAUGGUUAAGUGGGAAACGAUGUGGGAAGGCACAGACAGCCAGGAUGUUGGCUUAGAAGCAGCCAUCAUUUAAAGAAAGCGUAAUAGCUCACUGGUCGAGUCGGCCUGCGCGGAAGAUGUAACGGGGCUAAACCAUGCACCGAAGCUGCGGCAGCGACACUAUGUGUUGUUGGGUAGGGGAGCGUUCUGUAAGCCUGCGAAGGUGUGCUGUGAGGCAUGCUGGAGGUAUCAGAAGUGCGAAUGCUGACAUAAGUAACGAUAAAGCGGGUGAAAAGCCCGCUCGCCGGAAGACCAAGGGUUCCUGUCCAACGUUAAUCGGGGCAGGGUGAGUCGACCCCUAAGGCGAGGCCGAAAGGCGUAGUCGAUGGGAAACAGGUUAAUAUUCCUGUACUUGGUGUUACUGCGAAGGGGGGACGGAGAAGGCUAUGUUAGCCGGGCGACGGUUGUCCCGGUUUAAGCAUGUAGGCUGGUUGUCCAGGCAAAUCCGGAUAAUCAAGGCUGAGGUGUGAUGACGAGGCACUACGGUGCUGAAGUAACAAAUGCCCUGCUUCCAGGAAAAGCCUCUAAGCAUCAGGUAACAUCAAAUCGUACCCCAAACCGACACAGGUGGUCAGGUAGAGAAUACCAAGGCGCUUGAGAGAACUCGGGUGAAGGAACUAGGCAAAAUGGUGCCGUAACUUCGGGAGAAGGCACGCUGAUAUGUAGGUGAAGCGACUUGCUCGUGGAGCUGAAAUCAGUCGAAGAUACCAGCUGGCUGCAACUGUUUAUUAAAAACACAGCACUGUGCAAACACGAAAGUGGACGUAUACGGUGUGACGCCUGCCCGGUGCCGGAAGGUUAAUUGAUGGGGUUAUCCGUAAGGAGAAGCUCUUGAUCGAAGCCCCGGUAAACGGCGGCCGUAACUAUAACGGUCCUAAGGUAGCGAAAUUCCUUGUCGGGUAAGUUCCGACCUGCACGAAUGGCGUAAUGAUGGCCAGGCUGUCUCCACCCGAGACUCAGUGAAAUUGAACUCGCUGUGAAGAUGCAGUGUACCCGCGGCAAGACGGAAAGACCCCGUGAACCUUUACUAUAGCUUGACACUGAACAUUGAGCCUUGAUGUGUAGGAUAGGUGGGAGGCUUAGAAGUGUGGACGCCAGUCUGCAUGGAGCCGACCUUGAAAUACCACCCUUUAAUGUUUGAUGUUCUAACGUUGACCCGUGAUCCGGGUUGCGGACAGUGUCUGGUGGGUAGUUUGACUGGGGCGGUCUCCUCCUAAAGAGUAACGGAGGAGCACGAAGGUUGGCUAAUCCUGGUCGGACAUCAGGAGGUUAGUGCAAUGGCAUAAGCCAGCUUGACUGCGAGCGUGACGGCGCGAGCAGGUGCGAAAGCAGGUCAUAGUGAUCCGGUGGUUCUGAAUGGAAGGGCCAUCGCUCAACGGAUAAAAGGUACUCCGGGGAUAACAGGCUGAUACCGCCCAAGAGUUCAUAUCGACGGCGGUGUUUGGCACCUCGAUGUCGGCUCAUCACAUCCUGGGGCUGAAGUAGGUCCCAAGGGUAUGGCUGUUCGCCAUUUAAAGUGGUACGCGAGCUGGGUUUAGAACGUCGUGAGACAGUUCGGUCCCUAUCUGCCGUGGGCGCUGGAGAACUGAGGGGGGCUGCUCCUAGUACGAGAGGACCGGAGUGGACGCAUCACUGGUGUUCGGGUUGUCAUGCCAAUGGCACUGCCCGGUAGCUAAAUGCGGAAGAGAUAAGUGCUGAAAGCAUCUAAGCACGAAACUUGCCCCGAGAUGAGUUCU